Molecule: long non-coding RNA, 3528 nt
Filed under: Brassica napus (rape)
Lineage: Eukaryota; Viridiplantae; Streptophyta; Magnoliopsida; Brassicales; Brassicaceae
Description: long non-coding RNA (BNAP_LNC005544)
Source: RNAcentral
CAUCGUUGGUGGUGAGAAGCAGAGUAGCUAGAUCACUGUAGUAGCCUUUUGGGCAAUGGAACUGUUUGAAGUUCCCUGAUCUACCAUUCGUUGGGCAUCUCUCUUCUAUGGAGGGGUCACAAGGUGUGCAUUUGGCCAAGAAAGGAAGACCGUAGAGACAAACCGAUGUGAAGAGAGAUACAGUAAGAGCAAGAAGCACCUUAUGGAUCUUACCCUUCCUGCAAAAAGACCAAACAAAGGUAAGUAAUUAAGCACCUAGUAGAGUUUGCACUAUGUUUCAAGCAUUUCAAAACUUAACUGGUUGAUGAGAUUGUAAAGCCGGAGAACUUUAUGGAGAAAGUGAUUGUAGAGACUCCCAAGAACUCCACCGAUGACACCAAUCAACAUGACAGGGAUUAUAUCAGUCGCAUGGUAAGUAUAAGUAACGUGACUCACAUCAAACAUGAUAAGCCCUCCUCUUCCAAACAAUCCACACUUGCCUGAGUUGCAUAUCUCUAUGAACUCCCUUAGAACAACCACAACAACCGCUGUGCUGAAGAAAGUCCGCCACAACAGGGCGCUUCUCCACCAAGUGGCAACUUCCUCGAGCGCGAAAAGCACGCCUCCCACAGGUGACCUGAAGGCUGCACAGACUCCAGCUGCUGAGCCGCACGUUAUAAGAUCCCUUCGGUCUCUAUCGUUGUUGAAGUAACGAAGCCACCGCCACUUUAACCGGUGGUUGUCUGGUCCGCCUUGCCCGAGCAAUGAAGCUAUGCAGGUUCCUAUGUGAACUAGAGGACCUUCUUUGCCUAGAUCAAGUCCAGCUGCAACCGCUCCAAUGCUUCCAAUGAUCUAUCAAACCCCGCAAAUAGUGUGUUAAUAAUCAAACUUUUUUUUUCAGUUCCAGGAGCUCCUUAAUCCCCUCGGGCCGAAACCACAUCAUAUAAUGUUGGUUUCAUUCCAUCGGUCAUUCGAACUGGGGACCUCUGACACAAUUGCCAAGGUCCUUUGGUCUUAAUAAUCAAACUUAACACAUGAGUCUCCUUAAAAAGUUUAGAAACAGACCUUAACGAUCAUAGUGGUAGCACCAAACAUGUUGGGAGUGUCGAUGCCAUUAAGAUAAGCUUUGAUCUCAGGAAUGCCAGGACCAGCAGCCGUAGGAGCAAAUACAACAACAAGUACUGUCCCCACCAGAGUCAGACCCAAAUUCGCACCAGUAAAAACCAACAGACCUGUCACAUAUCUAUUUCAACAGAAACGUAUCAUACAAGUUAACUCCAUUUCUUAGUUAUGAACGUUUUUUUUUUGGUCAAGAUUUUGAUGAUGAGUCAAUACCUGUCUUGACCGAUAUAGUGGCCGACGGCCAGGAGUUUGUAACCCGCGAUGUUUUCGACGGCGAGGUUGAUGAGAGUAGCUAUGAGACCAGUUAAGAGACCAACAAGAAAAGCUAAUGUCCAUUUUGCGAAUAUGUAUUGCAACACUUGUGUCUUUGAUCUGCUUCUCCAGUCAUGCUUGAACAGAUCAUUCUCGUUUAUUCUGCAGUAAUCACAAAUUUUAAUUUAAUUUUUCUUACAAAAUUAUUACAAUAGUUCAUGUCUCCAUCACUGAAUACUUUCCUUCGAGUUAUUUAUGAAAUUAAAGAUUAUCUGAAAACAGAGUAAAGAUCAAAACUUUAUGAGACCAAGACUAAUCAUGCUACUAUGCAAAAGGUGACCCAAGUUCUUGACAUCGAUUCUUUUUUAAGAUUUGGCUAUUGAUUGUUUGCGGAAAAUUGAAGAAGUGAGAGACUUGAAGUAUUACAACAGUUCAUAUGUCUGCAUCACUGCUAUAUUCAUCCAAUUUUUAUUUAUUUUAUAUAAAUGACGAUAAUCUGAAAACAAGAGAGUAAGACUAGUAAGAUCUAUAGAGAGACUGAGAUCAAGAAUCUAAAUCUGUUAGGUAAAGAAGACAUACUCAUAGUCUAAGCUCUCGAUGUGUGAAACAUAUGUUCCUUUUUAAACAGGAGAUAUGGUUCCUCACUCACUGUGAUUUUACAAGUAUUAAAAGAGAUCUGUGCAAUAUUUUUAACUUAUGAGUCUUCUGUUUGGUAUGAAGAAAAAAGUGCAAAACUGGACAGAAACAUCUUCAAGAAUGGGAAGACAACAACAUAGCUGCAGAGCCAUUUUUACAGACAACAGGUAAAACAAAUUGAGUAGCGAUUCAGUGUGCUUUUCUACCUUUGGAUUUUUCCAAGUGAGGAAAAGCUUGUAGAAUGUUGUAUGCCCUUAGAUCCUGCCUGGUUAAGAUCCCAAUGACAGGAGAUCUCUGCAAACGAUUUACAAUUUAGUUAGUUUCAUUAAUUGUUAAUAGGUUUUAUAGUGAAAGUAAAAUAGAAUGAAAGAAGGCAUAUAGACUCACUCCUGAGGCUUGAAUCCUGGGAACAAUAAGCAAAUGUCGGAGUCCCACUUGCCGGAACAGCACCAAAGCCUUGGCCACAGACAUGUUCUCCAUAACAGUGUAAGGUGUUGUGUUAGUGAGAGGAUGAAGAUCAACAUACAUUUGCAUCUCAGAGCUUGUGAUUGCCACAUCGUCAAAGUUGUCUUCUCUCUCAGCCAGUUCAUCCCAUGGAAACUUCUCCCUGACCUCCCACUCCUCUGUUCUUCUCUUCUCUGUCAAGAACCAUCUCUUUUUCAGAACUUUAACCAGGUGGGCUCUCAGGAUCAACCCAUGAAGCUCUAUAGCCCCAGUUCCUAGACCCAUUUGAGGAGGUACUUCUGCUUCAUCUAAAACAGGGAAUGCAUUAUGCGUCGUGUUCCUUAGCACAUCAACUAUCUUAGCAACCUUUUCCACACCUUGCAGUGUUACAACCGGAGGCUUAGCAUCACCAAGCUCACCAACGGAGAGGUUCCUCAUCCACGGCUCCGGAUUCGCUUCCAAGAAAGGUAACCCCUUAAGAUGCAGUAUGAUAUCAUAGAUACUUGGGUUAAAGCUGUCUCCCACAGUUUUAGCAAUCAGAAGCACUAUCAUCGUAAUGGGAAGCAAAAGAAGGUUGUUGGUGAGUUCAAGAAAUAUAACACAGAGUGACACAGUCAUUCUCAUGGAUCCAGCCAUGAGUGAAGCUGCGCCAAGGACAGCGUAAAGCCCUUGGUCAAUGCUAGUGUAUGAUCCCAUCAACCCACCAAGCAUUCUUCCAUACGCAGAACCCAUGAGGAUGAUAGGGAGGAAGAGACCAGACGGAGUUGCGAUACCAAACGUGAAAAGCCCCAAGAUGCAGUAGAGCACAAAGAAUAUCCAAAGGGAGCCCAUGCUGAACUCAUUAGGAGUGUUGGAAGAGAAGAUGUUCCUGACAGCAUCAUCGUUGGUGGUGAGAAGCAGAGUAGCUAGAUCACUGUAGUAGCCUUUUGGGCAAUGGAACUGUUUGAAGUUCCCUGAUCUACCAUUCGUUGGGCAUCUCUCUUCUAUGGAGGGGUCACAAGGUGUGCAUUUGGCCAAGAAAGGAAGACCGUAGAGACAAACCGAUGUGAAGAGAGAUACAGUAAGAGCAAGAAGCACCUUAUGGAUCUUACCCUU